UAUUAUAAAAUUAAAAUCAACGUGCGCUGUUGGCCUAGUAGUAAAUUUUUCAGGUAGAAGUGUUGGGUUCCAGAUACGUUGAAAAAGAUCUUUUGUUUUAAAAAGAUAAAUUUAAUCUGUUAUGGGUCUCGCCUUUUAGAAAUGUAAAGCCUUUGGACCUGAACUUUUAAAUAUUAAAAAAAAUAAUUAUAAAAAUGGAGCUAAUCGAAUCGGAGUAAAAGGGGAAACAAAUCAUUAUAGUC
RNAcentral lists this small RNA (242 nucleotides) under Arabidopsis thaliana (thale cress). Its description in RNAcentral is "ATSL032670". The record is from RNAcentral. Lineage: Eukaryota; Viridiplantae; Streptophyta; Magnoliopsida; Brassicales; Brassicaceae.